GGCGUGCUUAACACAUGCAAGUCGAACGGGAUCCAUUAGCGCUUUUGUGUUUUUGGUGAGAGUGGCGAACGGGUGAGUAACACGUGAGUAACCUGCCCUUUUCUUUGGGAUAAGCCUGGGAAACUGGGUCUAAUACUGGAUGUUCCGGCUUCCUCGCAUGGGGUUGUUGGGAAAGGUUUUUUCUGGAUUGGGAUGGGCUCGCGGCUUAUCAGCUUGUUGGUGGGGUGAUGGCUUACCAAGGCUUUGACGGGUAGCCGGCCUGAGAGGGUGGUCGGUCACACUGGGACUGAGAUACGGCCCAGACUCCUACGGGAGGCAGCAGUGGGGGAUAUUGCACAAUGGACGGAAGUCUGAUGCAGCGACGUCGUGUGGGGGA
Molecule: ribosomal RNA, 376 nt
Filed under: Winkia neuii subsp. anitrata
Lineage: Bacteria; Bacillati; Actinomycetota; Actinomycetes; Actinomycetales; Actinomycetaceae
Description: bacterial SSU rRNA
Rfam family: Bacterial small subunit ribosomal RNA
Source: RNAcentral